GAUGAACGCUGGCGGCGUGCCUAAUACAUGCAAGUCGAGCGAACAGACGAGGCGCUUGCUCCUCUGACGUUAGCGGCGGACGGGUGAGUAACACGUGGAUAACCUACCUAUAAGACUGGGAUAACUUCGGGAAACCGGAGCUAAUACCGGAUAAUAUAUUGAACCGCAUGGUUCAAUAGUGAAAGACGGCUUUGCUGUCACUUAUAGAUGGAUCCGAGCCGCAUUAGCUAGUUGUGAAGGUAAAGGCUUACCAAGGGAACGAUGCGUAGCCGACGUGAGAGGGUGAUCGGCCACACUGGAACUGAACCACGGUCCAGACUCCUACGGGAGGCAGCAGUAGGGAAUCUUCCGCAAUGGGCGAAAGCCUGACGGAGCAACGCCGCGUGAGUGAUGAAGGUCUUCGGAUCGUAAAACUCUGUUAUUAGGGAAGAACAAAUGUGUAAGUAACUAUGCACGUCUUGACGGUACCUAAUCAGAAAGCCACGGCUAACUACGUG
RNAcentral lists this ribosomal RNA (497 nucleotides) under uncultured bacterium. RNAcentral describes it as "partial 16S ribosomal RNA". It matches the Rfam family "Bacterial small subunit ribosomal RNA", at positions 28 to 507 of the family's 1533-position model. The record is from RNAcentral.